UACGUAUGGUGCAAGCGUUAUCCGGAUUUACUGGGCGUAAAGGGAGCGCAGGCGGCGCGCCAAGUCUGAUGUGAAACCCCGGGGCUCAACCCCGGGCAUGCAUUGGAAACUGGCGGACUGGAGUGCCGGAGAGGUAAGCGGAAUUCCUAGUGUAGCGGUGAAAUGCGUAGAUAUUAGGAGGAACACCAGUGGCGAAGGCGGCUUACUGGACGGCAACUGACGCUGAGGCUCGAAAGCGUGGGGAGCAAACAGG
RNAcentral lists this ribosomal RNA (253 nucleotides) under uncultured bacterium. Its description in RNAcentral is "partial 16S ribosomal RNA". It matches the Rfam family "Bacterial small subunit ribosomal RNA", at positions 524 to 776 of the family's 1533-position model. The record is from RNAcentral.